CACACACCCACUUUGGUUUCCAGAAACACAAAGUUUCUGAAUUCUUUCCUCUGAAUUCCCUCCAUUCAUUGCAGGAAGCUAAAAUGAUCCCAUGGCUGAAUUUGGUGCCCUUGUUAGUGUUCCUUCAAGGAGUGCAAUCUCAAGUACAAUUGGUGGAGUCUGGAGGGGAUGUGAGAAGACCUGGAGGGUCCCUCCGUCUCUCCUGCCAAGCCUCUGGAUUCACCUUCAGCAGCUACUGGAUGCACUGGGUGAGACAGGCUCCAGGGAAAGGCCUGGAAUGGGUGGCCUACAUACCCGCUCCUCGUUCGCGGGGCGGCUCUACAGGCGGCGGGGCUGGCGUCAAGGGACGCUUCACCAUCUCCAGGGAUGAUGCCAAAAGCCAGCUGUAUCUGCAAAUGAAUAGCCUCAAACUGGAAGAUACUGCAAUUUAUUUCUGUACAAGAGACACAGUGAGAGGAAGUGAAUCUGAUGCCAAGCAAAAACCUUCUCUUCCUCUGAGCAGCUUUCCAAAUUGAAUGAGAAAGUUGAAUCUGUGUAUUUAAAGUGAGAAGAGGAACAUAAAUCUCCAUAUACAAUUUGGAACCUCAGAUCUGACCUUCUAAGAAGCAGUGUGGAAGAUGGUUGACAUUUUGAUAGGUGAGAAGAAGGAACUCUCCAGGCUGUGGAACAAACUGGGUAG
Non-coding RNA from Pantherophis guttatus, 679 nucleotides. The record is from the annotation of a RefSeq genome assembly. Lineage: Eukaryota; Metazoa; Chordata; Lepidosauria; Squamata; Colubridae.